GUCGUGCAGGAGAAAAAUGCUGCAGCAACGGCUGUGGCUACGAGUGCAUGAAGGCCACUGGAGUGCGUCCCCCGAGGUCUCCCGGAAGACGCCCCAGACCUCAAGACGCUGGGCACUGUGCGCAACUUGUUCUGAAGGAGCAAAAUGCCAUAGCAACGGCUGUGGCCGUGACUGCGUGAGGGUCUCUGGAGAAUAACCUGGUCUGAAGCCCGGAAUCACUGACAGCCGUCUGUGUGGAAGAACUGCUCCUGUCAAGAGUCGAUGUACCAACUCGGGCCCUGAAU
Long non-coding RNA from Gekko japonicus, 284 nucleotides. RefSeq lists it as uncharacterized. NCBI's taxonomy places the organism in Eukaryota, Metazoa, Chordata, Lepidosauria, Squamata, Gekkonidae. The transcript is spliced from 3 exons. The record is from RefSeq and is a predicted model, not a curated record.